UAGGGAAUCUUCGGCAAUGGGACGAAAGUCUGACCGAGCAACGCCGCGUGAGUGAAGAAGGUUUUCGGAUCGUAAAACUCUGUUGUUAGAGAAGAACGACGAGGAGAGUGGAAAGCUACCUUGUGUGACGGUAUCUAACCAGAAAGGGACGGCUAACUACGUGCCAG
This 167-nucleotide ribosomal RNA is filed under the name uncultured bacterium. RNAcentral describes it as "partial 16S rRNA". It matches the Rfam family "Bacterial small subunit ribosomal RNA", at positions 355 to 511 of the family's 1533-position model. The record is from RNAcentral.